GUGGUUUUAUUCUUUGUGUCAUGUUCUUUAUAUAUAUAUAUAUGUUUUUCUAAACUCAUGUAAAGCAUGCAAUAAGCAGGGAAUUGUUGCAUCCUCAUAUAUUUUUCUAACGCAGUACAGACGCAGUCGCUCAUACGAACAUACAUAUAUCCACCCAUAUGGACACAUGCAUGCACAUGCUACCCUUACGAGCACCUUCGAGAGACCGAACUAACACAUCAUUUUGAGGUUGACUAAAUUUCCGCAUACGCCAUUGUAGUUGGCGGUGGUGUCUCCUCUCACUGAACCCACAUCUCCGGAAGGCCUGAAUCUUUCCUACUUAUAAAGGUUGGAGUUGGUGGUGAGUUCACAUGUGAUACCACACAAAUAAACAAAUGCACUUGUUAGAGCAUGUUUCUCGAUUUGCGGUUCUGGUAAUUGAUGGCAAUCCCUUUGUACUAAUUGUUGCCUUGAUUUAUAUUCGAACGAUUUGUUCAUAGGAACUUCUUGAAGUCAUUUGUUGGUUUUAAGGAGUUUAUAUGAUGACCAAGGUGGUAUUCAAGGUUUUUUCUAAAGAUUGGUCAUGUGAGAGUUGAACUUAUCACAAGCAUGUAUUGAAGAAGAAGAUUGUGUGAACAUUCAUGUUUAUCUUCAACACAUCAUCUUUAUGAAGAGAG
RNAcentral lists this long non-coding RNA (656 nucleotides) under Hordeum vulgare. RNAcentral describes it as "long non-coding RNA (HVUL_LNC000625)". Lineage: Eukaryota; Viridiplantae; Streptophyta; Magnoliopsida; Poales; Poaceae. The record is from RNAcentral.